Molecule: ribosomal RNA, 400 nt
Filed under: uncultured bacterium
Lineage: Bacteria
Description: bacterial SSU rRNA
Rfam family: Bacterial small subunit ribosomal RNA
Source: RNAcentral
GGGGAAUAUUGGACAAUGGGGGCAACCCUGAUCCAGCAAUGCCGCGUGAGUGAUGACGGUCUUCGGAUUGUAAAGCUCUGUCUUUUGGGACGAUAAUGACGGUACCAAAGGAGGAAGCCACGGCUAACUACGUGCCAGCAGCCGCGGUAAUACGUAGGUGGCAAGCGUUGUCCGGAUUUACUGGGCGUAAAGGAUGUGUAGGCGGAUACUUAAGUGAGAUGUGAAAGCCCCGGGCGCAACCUGGGGACUGCAUUUCAAACUGGGUAUCUAGAGUGCAGGAGAGGAAAGCGGAAUUCCUAGUGUAGCGGUGAAAUGCGUAGAGAUUAGGAAGAACAUCAGUGGCGAAGGCGGCUUUCUGGACUGUAACUGACGCUGAGGCAUGAAAGCGUGGGGAGCAAAC